Molecule: long non-coding RNA, 1577 nt
Filed under: Prunus persica (peach)
Lineage: Eukaryota; Viridiplantae; Streptophyta; Magnoliopsida; Rosales; Rosaceae
Description: long non-coding RNA (PPER_LNC001680)
Source: RNAcentral
AAAGAAACAAACUUUUUUCAUGCUACAGUUUGCCACCCCACCACCACAAUGGUGGCAUUUUGGACAGUGCAAAAAGAGAUGGGAGGCUGAACCGGGAGGAGGGUUGGGUGGGCUUCCUUUUCCAUUACUUCUAAUGUACACCAAAAGUUAAAACUAUAAUAGUUCCUUGGUUACAGAAGUUGGAUUGCACAUAAUCUUUCCUAAAGUACCACAUUUUAGGUCUUCUAAUGGCAGCCAUAUUUUCUGUAGCACAACCAAAACGUCAAAAGUGAGUCAACUUCUAGUCCGAUCUAAUAUGAAAUGAAAUGGCAAGGGGUGAGCUACAAGGCUUAGCAAACAACUAUUUAUGGUCAGAGGUGAGAGCGAGGAUCACAACUGUACAAUAUUUGAAAUGAAGUGUAGAAGAACAAUUACCAUUAAUAGUCAUGUAACAACAACACAAUAGCUUUUAUAAUCCUCACCAGAGUUUCUAAUGAUGCUUUACUGCCAUGGUGGUUGCAAAUUAACCACAAUUUUGACUGUUAUUCGAUAUUCAAUUCUAAAUUCCUUUAACAAUGAAAUGAAGGGAAAUACAUCUGAAUUCUUCGAUACAAUAAGAAGCAAUCCAAGUGCGUUCUUAGUAAGCUUAGAGCUACUUUCCUUGUGUUUUUCUUUCUCAAAAUAAGCUUAAAAGUUAUGGUUUCUCCAUGUUAUAUAGUUUGCUGAGAGAAGCAUGACUUGGAGGUUGCACGACUCAUCUUGUUCUUAUUCAGACACUGAGGUGGCACGCGAAUAAUAAAACAUCAAAUCCAAAUUGAUUUAUGAAGGUUGAGAUAAGCAAUUCACUCCAGCAUGAGGUGUUAAUUUAGUCUACAAAAGCAUGAUGUGUCGACUUAUCAAGUGCUAAUCUACUCAAGCAGGAGGUGUCAAGUUGGAGAGAGACUUUAAUACAACAAGUAUAACACCUUUUGUUAUCCUUAAUUAAUAGCGCAAUAGCACGCGGGAUAACUUUUUGAAAUGUAAUUGCAUUAUUGCUAUCCCCGCUACAAGAGAUUUUUUCUGCUCAAGUUGCUGUAACUAAAGUCUAAUAUUGCAAUUUGAUCGUUAAAUACUUUUUCAAAUUGCAUAAGAGCCCUAAACAUAUUGUAAACAUCUCCCCAAAUUUUGACUAAUUAUAGAACUCGUACACUCCAGAAGUUUAAUGUCCUUAAAUGUGAGCUGAGAAACAACUAAGCCACAAUAUUUAUUUAAUGAAGUACUUGGGUGUUACAUGCAUACUUAAUCAUUGACUACCAAAAUUAUAAUUCAGUCUUCUUCUUAUCAUUAGUGCAGGACUACAUGGGGUAAAAACAGAAAUUAAAAUUUUGAAAUUUUAUAUUAAUUAUAAAAACACGGGUUUUUAACUGUAGACAUAUCUGAAUUGUAAAUUCUUUUUUAUUUAAUAUAUUCAUUCUUUUUUAGAGUUAAAUCUGGAAAGGAUUUUCUUUGCAAAUAUUUUUUUGGACAAACAAUGCAAAAAUAAAUAAAUAGAAUAAAAUAAAAAACAAAAAGUAUAGUACCUCCUGCAACAGUAAUCCCCAUCAUCAAAGUAAAUUAUG